This 717-nucleotide long non-coding RNA is filed under the name Gopherus agassizii (Agassiz's desert tortoise). RNAcentral's name for it is "lncRNA (ENSGAGG00000015739.1)". The record is from RNAcentral. Lineage: Eukaryota; Metazoa; Chordata; Testudines; Testudinidae.
UGGAGCUACACCAUUUUACACCAGCUGAAGAUCUGGACUUUAGCCUCUUGUGCAGAGGACUUCAAAGGUGAGAGAGAUCCUGUUUUACAAGCUCAGGUAUCACAGCUCUGACAAAUGAGUAAUCUUGAAAGAACUUGUCUUUGUCCUCCUCCCUUUUAUCCUUGAGGGAAAGAGCUUCAGUAACACCCUUGAGGCCACUGAGUUUAAAGCAGGACAUUUCUCACUUUGUCUUCAAAGUAUAGACCCUCAUCUUGUAUGGUACUGAAUGCCGACACCUCCUAUUGACUGAACUCUGCAGGAUUAGAUUGUAACUAGUGAGGUGCACAUAUAGGAAGGUGACUGGAAGAAAAUUCAGUGGAAUAUUUUUCCCACCAAGAGCAUUGAUGGGUGCACUUUCUUCUCCACCACUGGAAUUUCUCCUUUCUCUUCUCAGCGUUUCCUUUCUUGGAUGAAAUAUUUUACAGAAGUUUUGAGGCUUGUUUGCUUUUGCAAUCUUAGGAGGCAUCUGGUGCUGGUGAAAACACAUCUGAACACUUCCUAUUUGGUCUGCCAUUAAAUAUCUAGUACAGCUGUUCUGAACAUCCCAUCCCAAGCUGGAAUAGGAAGAGAAGUCCAGCCAGCCAUUUCCCCUGUGGCCAGCCGUAAGGAUCUUCCGGAAGGUAUGUGCUUUGGAUUUCAUCCCCCGACUAUUACACUCAUAAUGUCAGACCCCCAACG